Rosa chinensis is the source of this 1564-nucleotide long non-coding RNA. RefSeq lists it as uncharacterized. Lineage: Eukaryota; Viridiplantae; Streptophyta; Magnoliopsida; Rosales; Rosaceae. The record is from RefSeq and is a predicted model, not a curated record. The transcript is spliced from 2 exons.
CUGCCCCCUAUAUAAGAAACACAAGGCUGCAUAAGAAAGGGACGGAGAGAAAUAGAGAGAAGGGUGAGUUAUAUUGGUGCAUCAGAGUGAGGCUGCAUUCAAGAGAAAGAAAUAGUGCACAGUGCUUAGUUACCUGGAGACUACAACCCGACGACAGGAGAGCAUCAAGUUCAGGUUCAGAGAAUGAAAGAAGCACGUGCAAAGAUGAGAAGGGAUUUCGACAACUUUCUGAAGGCAAAAGAAGAGAAACAGAGGGGUUCACUACACUUGUUUUUGAUGCCUGUAUCGCGGUGUGUCCUGCAUAUGGGUGGCAAAGAUGAGUGUCAAGUGAAUGCCCGGGGGGCUGCCAGUUCACACCAAGUACGGCUCUACGAAGUUCCCAAGUUUCACUACACUUGUCUUUGAUGCCUGUAUUGCGGUGCGUCCUGCAUAUGGGUGGCAAAGAUGAGUGUCAAGUGAAAGCCUCGGGCUGUUGGUUCACGCCAAGGACAAAUCUGCAAAGUUCUUGGGUUCACAAUAGUGGGGAAGCUGCUCCAAGAUGAUCCCCGUGCAGAGUUUCAACACCAAAGGAAGAAAUCACUCCACCUGCAGCAAAGCUAUCAUCAAAAUGGUGUCACACAAGGCGAAGGUUGCUACUUUUACGGAAGAGUUUUUGACUUAGCUCACCCUUGAUCAGAGAGUUUGCAGCAUUCACUCAGCUCACCUUCGAUCACUAAGUUACAGCCACAAAAACGCAAGAGAGAUGGGAGCCGUAUGAUUCUUGUUACCUGGCAUAAGAUAGUGGCAGAAAUAGUGGAGACAUAGAUCAACUUCGGUAACAAAUGGCUCCAUGCCUUUUCACUCCUAGACAAAUACGUGCAACAUCUUGCGAAGUUAAGACUACCUCUGUCGAGUGAUGGUUCAAAUGGUGUCUGUGAUGCUCUUCUUCAAAACUGUGUCUGCAAGAUGGAAAAGCAAUCUCAUGAUCAGCAAGAAAGAAGAAUGAAGUCCUUGCUUUUGGUUUCAUGGUCACGGCUACACAAAGAGAAAAAUGGAAGCUUAAUUCCACUCAUUUGCAGCAGAAGUAAAAGCUUUAGAAUAUGCAUAAUUGAGGCAGCUAUGUUGCAAGUCUUUUUCGGAACAAGCCAAAAACAAAAGACCAAGAAGCAUGCAGCAAUUACAUUUAAUUAAAGAAGUAGAAAUCACUCCUCAAGCAGCCACGAAGCUUUACGGUGGAGGAAUGUCUCAAACAUGGAGAUGAUUACAAUUAACUUCACACAUAAGCUUGUCAAAAUGAAAGCUUCUAAAAUGUGUGAGUGGACACGUUUGCUGCAAGUCAAACCAACAUACAUAAUUAAUGCAAGUUUAAUAAAAGCAUAUCUGUAGCUUUGUUUCUGGGAACUAAAGACAAAAGCCUAAAAAGCAUGAUUAAAAGUAUGGUUUCCAGCAAGCUUCUUUUGAAAAUAGUUUAAACAACAAAGGAGCAGACACCAAGAAGCAAAGUCUAGCUACAAUCAAUAUUCAAAAUGACCUCUGCACAAACAAAGUAACUGUGGCGGUGACAAACCGAUUAGUGCACAUCAAG